UACGGAAGGCGCAGUGGGGAAUAUUGCACAAUGGGCGCAAGCCUGAUGCAGCCAUGCCGCGUGUAUGAAGAAGGCCUUCGGGUUGUAAAGUACUUUCAGUCGUGAGGAAGGUGUUAAGGUUAAUAACCUUAGCAAUUGACGUUAGCGACAGAAGAAGCACCGGCUAACUCCGUGCCAGCAGCCGCGGUAAUACGGAGGGUGCGAGCGUUAAUCGGAAUUACUGGGCGUAAAGGGCACGCAGGCGGUUAAUUAAGUUGGAUGUGAAAUCCCCGGGCUUAACCUGGGAAUGGCAUUCAAGCUGGUUAGCUAGAGUCUUGUAGAGGGGGUAGAAUUCCAUGUGUAGCGGUGAAAUGCGUAGAGAUGUGGAGGAAUACCGGUGGCGAAGGCGGCCCCUGGACAAAGACUGACGCUCAUGUGCGAAAGCGUGGGGAGCGAAACAGGGGUUAGAUACC
This 452-nucleotide ribosomal RNA is filed under the name uncultured bacterium. Its description in RNAcentral is "bacterial SSU rRNA". It matches the Rfam family "Bacterial small subunit ribosomal RNA", at positions 340 to 786 of the family's 1533-position model. The record is from RNAcentral.